AACAUAAGAGAGCACAUACCAUGCAGACUCCUCAGCCGUUCACAAAAAGAGGAGAAAAAAAACUAUAUUUGAAAGAGAUUAAAAGUUGAUAUCAUUUUGCAGAGGAUUUCUGUUUUCUCAUUUUUUUUUAACUGCAGCUGCCUUCUCAUCCUGCUUGUAGGUCCUCCCUCACACACCAACAGAAAGGAUUUCCUAGCAACGAUUAUAAUGCGCGCGCACGCACGCACACACACGCACGCACGCACACACACACACACACACACACACACACACACACACACACACACACACACACACACACACACACACAGGCUGAACGCGCUGGGGCUCCCUCCAGCUAUCAGCGUGGGUUUCCCCCUCCUUCUCCCUCCUCCUCCUUUUUUCUUCUCCCUCGCCGCCGCUCCGCCGUUGAGGGAAGGAAGGGAAGGAGGGAGAGAAAGAGAGAGAGGCAGAGGGUGAGAGAGAGAGAGCUCCCCUCUUCACAACUCUCCCCUGGAAGCCUCAGCUGCUGGCUAGACUGCGCGGUUACACGGGCAGCCUGCCUGCCUGCGCAACGGAAUGGCGGCGGUGUGCAGACGGUUCGUUUUGCGCCAGAGCGGUCACGAACGAACAGAGACGGAAAGAGAGUCUGCGAGUGCACGACGAGGCUCGAUUUGCCGGUGAAAGUCGCGGAAGAAACGGGAAACUGCUCCGUGUUUUUGAAGAGAGAGAGAGAGAGACAGAGAGAGGGAGAGGGAAGAAGAAGAAGGGGGAUGGGGGGAGCUUGGAAAGCCACGAAUGCCGGAGAAGUGCGCUUUUAUUCGGUGCGUAAUGACACGACGCGUCUCUCCGGUGGUUGUACCGACGUGCUGUUGACGAGAAGAAGAGGAGGGUGAAGGUGGGGGGGGUAGGGGGUUCAACAUAUGAGGCUGAUGCCGCCGAAUACCGGGGACGGUUUCAUAUCCAGAUACUACAACCGACACGGGAGCAGAGGCUACAGCCCCAUUGCGCGCAACACGGCGCACAUGGCACGCCCCCUCGCCUCCCUCCCGCUCCACACUGACAGGGAGGCGUUUGCUGGGGCGCCAUUUUCAAAAGCCUUCUUUGCAUAUGAGAUGUGUUUUUGCUGCAGGAGGGCUGCAGCCCGUCCUGCCUUCUCAUGUUACACAGUCUGUCUGCCUGAGAAGAGCAUGGACUGAGGAAAACAAGAAAUCUGGACGGAACCUCUAACGCGCCAUCUAUUCUUUUUAAAUAUAUAUAUAUAAUUUUGUUGCAAAGAACAAGAUUUACACAAUAACCUUCAGCGAAUUUGACACCAGAAGCAAAGCAGUGUUUCAUUUCCCAAACAGCAUGAUUUCAUCGUAUUUUUUCCACACUAAAAUAUUUAAUUUGAGGGAAUUCUCUUUUAGCUUCUUGUUGUCUGAUCUGAUGUUGCAUCUAUUUAUUAAAGUGUACAGGCUUGAGAAAAAUCUAAAAUUACAGGCUGGCUGCAGGAGCAGGCCUGCUUUACAUAAUUACAUACAAUGGACUAGUCUGCUCACUUUGAAGAACACGCUUUUAGUUCUACUAAUCAUCACAGCGUGUACCACAGCAGCUCAUUAAAAUGCAAACAUAUUAUCCUUAUUAUCUUAUUCGCAGUUUUGGUCAUUCCAUUUGAAUAUUUUUGACAAAAGCCAGCGUUCCGUUCUCCUCUCUGCGUUCAUUUGUUCCACCGUCAACACACCAGGAUACUUGGGAGUUUGGUUGAAUAACGUGAUGUUGUAAACAGCUCUAAGUGCGCGUCUGUGCUGAGGUGCGUUUGGCUGAGAUCCAGUGAGAAAUGCAUGCGUUUUGUUUUCUGUUUUUUUGUGUGGUUUUUUUGCAUGCUGGAGUGAGUGAGAAAUUUCAGUGUUGGUGAAGUUAAUUCAAAGUGACUGCAGCAGGACGGGCAGCUCUCGUGUGGCAGCACGAUGAGGCGAUAAUAGCAAUAACAACAAUUACAAGACAGACUCACAGGCCAAAAAUACUGUCGUCGGACAAACACGGAGUAUUAAUGUUACAGCAGGCAGACAGCAGGAAGGCUGCAUUCUUUACAUGCAGGUGUGUGUUAGACGAUGGAAGCUGCUACAGAGUCCCCAAUAUUAACAACAAUAAAUUAAUGUCAAAUAAAAAAAUUAUGUACUAAAAUAUAAGUAGAAUUUAAGAUACGUUUUUACCUAAAUAGUUUAACCAUUAAAAUAAAGAAGUGUACUGUUUAUGUACUUUGAAUUGAGUGACUUUUUUGAAUUUUUAAAAUGCAAUAAAAUAAAACAGUCAUAUAAAUUAAUUAAAUGUGUUUCUUCAUUAUUAAAUUAAUUUAGGGAAUAAUGCUCUAGAGAAACCUCAAACAUACAAGUAAAUAAUUACAUUGCUAAUAAUUUUAAUAGAUUCUUUUCAGUCACCUUCUAGUUUGUGUUGAAAUAAAGCUACAUAUUCAUUUUAUUAGCAUACAUAUUUGAGACUGCUGCUUAUAUUACUGCGUGCUGUUGUUUUUUUUUUUUGCAUUUUUUCUUGUUUUUACGUGAAAAGUGCCUGCUUAUGAAACAUUCUCGCAAUAUCGCUGUUUAUUCCAAAAAGCAUUCCUAACUUCAUUAAAGCUCACUUUUACAAAAAGCG
Long non-coding RNA from Amphiprion ocellaris (clown anemonefish), 2613 nucleotides. RefSeq lists it as uncharacterized. The transcript is spliced from 2 exons. The record is from RefSeq and is a predicted model, not a curated record. NCBI's taxonomy places the organism in Eukaryota, Metazoa, Chordata, Actinopteri, Pomacentridae.